Molecule: ribosomal RNA, 460 nt
Filed under: uncultured bacterium
Lineage: Bacteria
Description: partial 16S ribosomal RNA
Rfam family: Bacterial small subunit ribosomal RNA
Source: RNAcentral
CCUACGGGUGGCAGCAGUGAGGAAUAUUGGUCAUUGGCCGGAAGGCUGAACCAGCCAUGCCGCGUGAAGGUCAGUGCCCUAUGGGCGUUAAACUUCUUUUGUGCGGGAGCAAUAAUGGUCACGUGUGGCCAGACGAGAGUACCGUACGAAUAAGCAUCGGCUAACUCCGUGCAAGCAGCCGCGGUAAUACGGGGGAUGCAAGCGUUAUCCGGAUUUAUUGGGGUUAAAGGGUGCGUAGGCUGGGCGGUAAGUCAGCGGUGAAAUGCCCCCGCUCAACGGGGUGAAGUGCCAUUGAUACUGCCUUGCUGGAAUGCGGAUGCCGAGGGAGGAAUGGGUGGUGUAGCGGUGAAAUGCAUAGAGAUCACACAGAACACCGAUGGCGAAGGCAUCUCACGAAUCCGCGAUUGACGCUGAUGCACGAAAGCGUGGGUAUCAAACAGGAUUAGAUACCCUGGUAGUC